CCUACGGGAGGCAGCAGUGGGGAAUAUUGGACAAUGGGCGCAAGCCUGAUCCAGCCAUGCCGCGUGAGUGAUGAAGGCCCUAGGGUCGUAAAGCUCUUUCAACGGUGAAGAUAAUGACGGUAACCGUAGAAGAAGCCCCGGCUAACUUCGUGCCAGCAGCCGCGGUAAU
RNAcentral lists this ribosomal RNA (169 nucleotides) under uncultured bacterium. RNAcentral describes it as "partial 16S ribosomal RNA". It matches the Rfam family "Bacterial small subunit ribosomal RNA", at positions 338 to 524 of the family's 1533-position model. The record is from RNAcentral.